AGAUUGAACGCUGGCGGCAGGCCUAACACAUGCAAGUCGAGCGGUAGAGAGGUGCUUGCACCUCUUGAGAGCGGCGGACGGGUGAGUAAUGCCUAGGAAUCUGCCUAGUGGUGGGGGAUAACGUUCGGAAACGGACGCUAAUACCGCAUACGUCCUACGGGAGAAAGCGGGGGACCUCCGGGCCUCGCGCCAUUAGAUGAGCCUAGGUCGGAUUAGCUAGUUGGUGAGGUAAUGGCUCACCGAAGGCGACGAUCCGUAACUGGUCUGAGAGGAUGAUCAGUCACACUGGAACUGAGACACGGUCCAGACUCCGUACGGGAGCAGCAGGUGGGAAUAGUUGGACAAGUGGGACGAAAGCCUAGACUCCAGCCAGUCGCCGCGUGUG
This 385-nucleotide ribosomal RNA is filed under the name uncultured soil bacterium. RNAcentral's name for it is "bacterial SSU rRNA". It matches the Rfam family "Bacterial small subunit ribosomal RNA", at positions 26 to 405 of the family's 1533-position model. The record is from RNAcentral.